RNAcentral lists this ribosomal RNA (502 nucleotides) under uncultured bacterium. RNAcentral describes it as "partial 16S ribosomal RNA". It matches the Rfam family "Bacterial small subunit ribosomal RNA", at positions 30 to 523 of the family's 1533-position model. The record is from RNAcentral.
AUUGAACGCUGGCGGCAGGCUUAACACAUGCAAGUCGAGCGGUAACAGGAGAAGCUUGCUUCUCGCUGACGAGCGGCGGACGGGUGAGUAAUACUUAGGAAUCUACCUAGUAGUGGGGGCUAGCUCGGGGCAACUCGAAUUAAUACCGCAUACGCCCUACGGGCGAAAGGGGGCAACUAGUUGUUCUCGCUAUUAUAUGAGCCGAAGUCGGAUGAGCUAGAUGGGGGGGUAAAGGCCUACCAUGGGUACGAUCUGUAGCUUGUCUGGGAGGAUGAUCAGCCACACCGGGACUGGGACACGGCCCGGACUCCUACGGGAGGCAGCAGUGGGGAAUAUUGGACAAUGGGGGCAACCCUGAUCCAGCCAUGCCGCGUGUGUGAAGAAGGCCUUUUGGGUGUAAAGCACUUUAAGCAGUGAAGAAGACUCUAGGGUUAAUACCCUUAGACGAUGACAUUAGCUGCAGAAUAAGCACCGGCUAACUCUGUGCCAGCCGCCGCGGUAA